UGGGGAAUUUUGGACAAUGGGCGCAAGCCUGAUCCAGCCAUGCCGCGUGCGGGAAGAAGGCCUUCGGGUUGUAAACCGCUUUUGUCAGGGAAGAAAUCUUCUGAGUUAAUACCUCGGGAGGAUGACGGUACCUGAAGAAUAAGCACCGGCUAACUACGUGCCAGCAGCCGCGGUAAUACGUAGGGUGCAAGCGUUAAUCGGAAUUACUGGGCGUAAAGCGUGCGCAGGCGGUUUUGUAAGACAGAGGUGAAAUCCCCGGGCUCAACCUGGGAACUGCCUUUGUGACUGCAAGGCUUGAGUGCGGCAGAGGGGGGAUGGAAUUCCGCGUGUAGCAGUGAAAUGCGUAGAUAUGCGGAGGAACACCGAUGGCGAAGGCAAUCCCCUGGGCCUGCACUGACGCUCAUGCACGAAAGCGUGGGGAGCAAACAGGAUUAGAUACCCUGGUAGUCCACGCCCUAAACGAUGUCAACUGGUUGUUGGGAAGGUUCCUUCUCAGUAACGUAGCUAACGCGUGAAGUUGACCG
This 524-nucleotide ribosomal RNA is filed under the name uncultured bacterium. Its description in RNAcentral is "partial 16S ribosomal RNA". It matches the Rfam family "Bacterial small subunit ribosomal RNA", at positions 355 to 871 of the family's 1533-position model. The record is from RNAcentral.